GAUCCUGGCUCAGGACGAACGCUGGCGGCGUGCUUAACACAUGCAAGUCGAACGAGGUGCAGCGAGUUGAAGCUUCGGCGGAAACAUGCUGUUACCGAGUGGCGGACGGGUGAGUAACGCGUGAGCAACCUGCCCUGCAACGGGGGACAACAGUUGGAAACGACUGCUAAUACCGCAUGAGACCACGGUUUCGCAUGGAACUGAGGUAAAAGGAUUUAUUCGAUGCAGGAUGGG
This 234-nucleotide ribosomal RNA is filed under the name uncultured bacterium. RNAcentral describes it as "partial 16S ribosomal RNA". It matches the Rfam family "Bacterial small subunit ribosomal RNA", at positions 15 to 229 of the family's 1533-position model. The record is from RNAcentral.